RNAcentral lists this ribosomal RNA (160 nucleotides) under Metarhizium pemphigi. RNAcentral's name for it is "5.8S ribosomal RNA". It matches the Rfam family "5.8S ribosomal RNA". Rfam says of the family: 5.8S ribosomal RNA (5.8S rRNA) is a component of the large subunit of the eukaryotic ribosome. Lineage: Eukaryota; Fungi; Ascomycota; Sordariomycetes; Hypocreales; Clavicipitaceae. The record is from RNAcentral.
CAAAACUUUCAACAACGGAUCUCUUGGUUCUGGCAUCGAUGAAGAACGCAGCGAAAUGCGAUAAGUAAUGUGAAUUGCAGAAUUCAGUGAAUCAUCGAAUCUUUGAACGCACAUUGCGCCCGCCAGUAUUCUGGCGGGCAUGCCUGUUCGAGCGUCAUUA